This 616-nucleotide ribosomal RNA is filed under the name Hydnangium kanuka. Its description in RNAcentral is "eukaryotic LSU rRNA". It matches the Rfam family "Eukaryotic large subunit ribosomal RNA", at positions 81 to 676 of the family's 3401-position model. Lineage: Eukaryota; Fungi; Basidiomycota; Agaricomycetes; Agaricales; Hydnangiaceae. The record is from RNAcentral.
UAGUAACUGCGAGUGAAGCGGGAAAAGCUCAAAUUUAAAAUCUGGCAGUCAUUGGCUGUUCCGAGUUGUAAUCUAGAGAAGCAUUAUCCGCGUUGGACCGUGUACAAGUCUCCUGGAAUGGAGCGUCAUAGAGGGUGAGAAUCCCGUCUUUGACACGGACUGCCAGGGCUUUGUGAUGUGCUCUCAAAGAGUCGAGUUGUUUGGGAAUGCAGCUCAAAAUGGGUGGUAAAUUCCAUCUAAAGCUAAAUAUUGGCGAGAGACCGAUAGCGAACAAGUACCGUGAGGGAAAGAUGAAAAGAACUUUGGAAAGAGAGUUAAACAGUACGUGAAAUUGCUGAAAGGGAAACGCUUGAAGUCAGUCGCGUUGGCCAGGGAUCAACCUUGCUUUUUUUGCUUGGCUUACUUCCUGGUUAAUGGGUCAGCAUCAAUUUUGACUGGUGGAAAAAGUUCAAGGGAAUGUGGCAUCUUCGGAUGUGUUAUAGCCUUUGCUCGCAUACAUCAGUUGGGAUUGAGGAACUCAGCACGCCGCAAGGCCGGGUUUUCAACCACGUACGUGCUUAGGAUGCUGGCAUAAUGGCUUUAAUCGACCCGUCUUGAAACACGGACCAAGGAGUCU